RNAcentral lists this ribosomal RNA (494 nucleotides) under uncultured bacterium. RNAcentral's name for it is "partial 16S ribosomal RNA". It matches the Rfam family "Bacterial small subunit ribosomal RNA", at positions 28 to 507 of the family's 1533-position model. The record is from RNAcentral.
GACGAACGCUGGCGGCGUGCUUAACACAUGCAAGUCGAACGGAAAGGCCUGCUUUCCCUUGUGGAUUGCGGGUACUCGAGUGGCGAACGGGUGAGUAACACGUGAGUGAUCUGCCCCCAACUUGGGUAUAAGCCUGGGAAACUGGGUCUAAUUCCCGAUAGGACUGCAGGGUGGUGCCUGUGGUGGAAAACGAUUUUCUAGUGGUUGGGGAUGAGCUCGCGGCCUAUCAGCUUGUUGGUGGGGUAAUAGCCUACCAAGGCGGCGACGGGUAGCCGGCCUGAGAGGGUGGACGGCCACAUUGGGACUGAGAUACGGCCCAGACUCCUACGGGAGGCAGCAGUGGGGAAUAUUGCACAAUGGGCGGAAGCCUGAUGCAGCGACGCCGCGUGGGGGAUGACGGCCUUCGGGUUGUAAACUCCUUUCGACCGCGAGGAAGCCACCUGGUUGGAAGGGUGGUGACGGUAGUGGUAGAAGAAGCACCGGCUAACUACGUG